RNAcentral lists this long non-coding RNA (303 nucleotides) under Vicia faba (fava bean). The record is from RNAcentral. Lineage: Eukaryota; Viridiplantae; Streptophyta; Magnoliopsida; Fabales; Fabaceae.
AUGGGUAGUUGGUGGCGGAAGGGUUACGCAGUGGAGGGUUUAUGGAUGAAGACGACACGACGUCACAGACAAGGUACAAAGCUGGGUGCCGCAAAGAGUUUCGGGUCGUAUAUGGGUCAUGUAAGCAAAGAGAAUAACCUUGCCGUCGAGAAGCUUCUGCUCAAGAUAAAAGAGACGGUGGAUUCAAGGGCGAAGGGUAAUAAUACAGGGUUGAUUAAGGGAGACAAAAUUGGUGUUGGCAUUGGCAAUGAUCCCGGUGUUGUGCAAAAUGGAUUUCAUCAUGUGGCUUAUAAAGUUGUUUGA